Parelaphostrongylus tenuis is the source of this 76-nucleotide non-coding RNA. Lineage: Eukaryota; Metazoa; Nematoda; Chromadorea; Rhabditida; Metastrongylidae. The record is from the annotation of a GenBank genome assembly.
GCCUCGGUGGUGUAGUGGUAUAAAGCGCGCGUCCCUGGAUCGGAUGAAAACGCAGGUUCGAAUCCCGCUUGACGCC